Molecule: ribosomal RNA, 466 nt
Filed under: uncultured bacterium
Lineage: Bacteria
Description: partial 16S ribosomal RNA
Rfam family: Bacterial small subunit ribosomal RNA (bases 20-329)
Source: RNAcentral
GACGAACGCUGGCGGCGUGCUUAACACAUGCAAGUCGAACGGAAAGGCCCUGCUUUUGUGGGGUGCUCGAGUGGCGAACGGGUGAGUAACACGUGAGUAACCUGCCCUUGACUUUGGGAUAACUUCAGGAAACUGGGGCUAAUACCGGAUAGGAGCUCCUGCUGCAUGGUGGGGGUUGGAAAGUUUCGGCGGUUGGGGAUGGACUCGCGGCUUAUCAGCUUGUUGGUGGGGUAGUGGCUUACCAAGGCUUUGACGGGUAGCCGGCCUGAGGGGGUGACCGGGGACAUUGGGGGGGAGAAGGCGCGAGAGGGCGACGGGGCGGAAGGGGGGGGGGAUAUGGCACAGGGGGCGAGGGGGGGAAGCAGGAGGGACGGGGGCGGAAGGGGGGGUUGCGGGUUGAAAACACGUCGCGCGCGGGAGGAAGGGUGAGGGGUGGAAAAGGGUAAAGAGGCGCGGCAAACCGAGG